This 440-nucleotide ribosomal RNA is filed under the name uncultured bacterium. RNAcentral's name for it is "partial 16S ribosomal RNA". It matches the Rfam family "Bacterial small subunit ribosomal RNA", at positions 338 to 795 of the family's 1533-position model. The record is from RNAcentral.
ACUACGGGUGGCAGCAGUGGGGAAUAUUGCACAAUGGGGGGAACCCUGAUGCAGCGACGCCGCGUGAGUGAAGAAGUAUUUCGGUAUGUAAAGCUCUAUCAGCAGGGAAGAAAAUGACGGUACCUGACUAAGAAGCCCCGGCUAACUACGUGCCAGCAGCCGCGGUAAUACGUAGGGGGCAAGCGUUAUCCGGAUUUACUGGGUGUAAAGGGAGCGCAGACGGCAGUGCAAGUCUGGAGUGAAAGGCGGGGGCCCAACCCCCGGACUGCUCUGGAAACUGUAAAGCUGGAGUGCAGGAGAGGUAAGCGGAAUUCCUAGUGUAGCGGUGAAAUGCGUAGAUAUUAGGAGGAACACCAGUGGCGAAGGCGGCUUACUGGACUGCAACUGACGUUGAGGCUCGAAAGCGUGGGGAGCAAACAGGAUUAGAUACCCGAGUAGUC